AUUCUAUAAACUUACUUGGCAUCAUCAUCUCCCAAACCAAGUUCAAAGACACGAGUAGCACCAAGUUGUUCUAAUCUAUGAUCAACAUAUAAAGCUAUUUCAUUGUAAUGUUCAUAUGUUUUAUUUCCAAGACCAAAUACCUCAUAAUUUAAUCCAUUUAAAUCAGGAUCACCAUUUUUUAGCCAAUCAAUAAAUUCCAUAGCAUUGUCUGUAGGAUCACCUUCUCCAUAUGUUGCUAAACAGAAUACUGCCAUACUGUUUGGUAUUGUUUUGAGAUGUAUUAAUUCUUCCUGUUAUAAUUAUAUAAUUAUGUAAGAUUAUGAUAUAUAAAUAAAUAAAAUAAUAUGAUGAGAAAUUCUUAAAUUUUUUUUUCAUUCUUAUUAUAUAUGUCUGAAAUUACAUUGUACUUUUCAAAACUUUCAACAAUUCUAUCUAGAAUAUCGAUUUUUCAUAAUAAUCGUAUUUUCGUAUUAAUAAUUUU
Long non-coding RNA from Apis dorsata (giant honeybee), 481 nucleotides. RefSeq lists it as uncharacterized. The transcript has 2 exons. NCBI's taxonomy places the organism in Eukaryota, Metazoa, Arthropoda, Insecta, Hymenoptera, Apidae. The record is from RefSeq and is a predicted model, not a curated record.